Cyprinus carpio (common carp) is the source of this 737-nucleotide long non-coding RNA. RefSeq lists it as uncharacterized. The transcript has 4 exons. NCBI's taxonomy places the organism in Eukaryota, Metazoa, Chordata, Actinopteri, Cypriniformes, Cyprinidae. The record is from RefSeq and is a predicted model, not a curated record.
GACUGAUACAGUUAACGUUCAAUUACUUAUAGCAGUAUUUCUCCCUUCAGGGUUUUUGAACCUGCUGGAUGGAAAGAAGAAUAGUGAAUAUAAACCACCUGAGGCGGGACAAGGAAAAAGUACCGAAAUGACCGUGAAUGGAGAAGAUAAUUAAACUCUGAAUUCAGCUGACACACAAAAAUGUUGUGGUAGAAAAAAAAUAGCUCUGCUUCUGUAAAAUAUCUGCAUGGUUUGGUCAAGAAACAAACUUCUACAUGAGGACUUUUCAUCAUCUCACCUUUUGCAAGAACAGUCUCUUUUCUUUUUUUUCACAGACAUGAGCGGUAAACUUUGUAUGAAUGUGGAAUUAUAAUUUUUUUUAAAAGCCUAGUUUUUCUUUUCAAUAUUAUUCCCCUGCGUUUAAUUGCUGCACUGUGUCCACACUGCGGGAUUUCUCUUUUUAUCCAGUUAUCCACACUGUUUGCUUAUAAUGAGUUGUUUUUGGCAAUCUGUAUUAUCUGCAUUGAUUGCUUUAGUGAUGAUAUAGACUUGGUGUGGCAUCUUCACCUUAAAAGUGUCAUUCAGAAGCAUGCCGGUGGUAUGACAGAAGCUUACUGGUACGUACCAGCUUCCUCCUUUGAUCUGUGAUGACACUGGUGUCCACCAGAAAGAGAAACAAACUAAAUAUGUUCAUUGACGGUGGUCACUUCAGGCGUAUUCAGCUCUAUGAAGCAGUCACAGCCAUACUACUAGUGAGA